This 206-nucleotide ribosomal RNA is filed under the name uncultured bacterium. RNAcentral's name for it is "partial 16S ribosomal RNA". It matches the Rfam family "Bacterial small subunit ribosomal RNA", at positions 1295 to 1500 of the family's 1533-position model. The record is from RNAcentral.
GGAUCGCAGUCUGCAACUCGACUGCAUGAAGCUGGAAUCGCUAGUAAUCGCGAAUCAGAAUGUCGCGGUGAAUACGUUCCCGGGCCUUGUACACACCGCCCGUCACACCAUGGGAGUUGGAAGCACCCGAAGUCGGUGACCUGACCGAAAGGGAGGAGCCGCCGAAGGUGAAGCCAGCGACUGGGGUGAAGUCGUAACAAGGUAUC